AUACGGAGGGUGCUAACGUUGUUCGGUGUUAUUGGGCUUAAAGGGUGCGUAGGCGGCUAGAUUAGUCAGGUGUGAAAGCCCUCAGCUCAACCGAGGAAUUGCGCUUGAUACUGUCUGGCUCGAGGACCAAAGGGGAGAGCGGAACUCCAGGUGUAGCGGUAAAAUGCGUAGAUAUCUGGGGGAACGUCGAAGGCGAAGGCAGCUCUCUGGGUGGUACCUGACGCUGAGUGCACGAAAGCUGGGGGAGCAAACAGGAUUAGAAACCCCUGUAGUCC
Molecule: ribosomal RNA, 275 nt
Filed under: uncultured bacterium
Lineage: Bacteria
Description: partial 16S ribosomal RNA
Rfam family: Bacterial small subunit ribosomal RNA
Source: RNAcentral